Molecule: unclassified non-coding RNA, 343 nt
Filed under: soil metagenome
Description: partial contains 5.8S ribosomal RNA, internal transcribed spacer 2, and large subunit ribosomal RNA
Rfam family: 5.8S ribosomal RNA (bases 1-120)
Source: RNAcentral
GAUGAAGAACGUAGCGAAAUGCGAUAAGUAAUGUGAAUUGCAGAAUUCAGUGAAUCAUCGAGUUUUUGAACGCAUAUUGCGCCCUCUGGUAUUCCGGGGGGCAUGCCUGUUCGAGCGUCAUUAAAUAACCCUCAAGCAUAGCUUGGUGUUGGGCUUUUUUACGUCCUUGACUGGGAUGGGCCUAAAAAUUAGUGGCGAUGGCUUUUUUACUUUCAAGCGUAGUAAAUCUCGUCUUGCUAAAGAGGAAAAAGAUUUUUUUUCUGCCAAAAAUUUUAACAUUUAAAGUUGACCUCGGAUCAGGUAGGAUUACCCGUUGAACUUAAGCAUAUCAAUAAGCGGAGGA